RNAcentral lists this ribosomal RNA (253 nucleotides) under uncultured bacterium. RNAcentral's name for it is "partial 16S ribosomal RNA". It matches the Rfam family "Bacterial small subunit ribosomal RNA", at positions 524 to 776 of the family's 1533-position model. The record is from RNAcentral.
UACGUAGGGUGCAAGCGUUGUCCGGAAUUAUUGGGCGUAAAGAGCUCGUAGGCGGUUUGUCGCGUCUGCUGUGAAAACCCGAGGCUCAACCUCGGGCCUGCAGUGGGUACGGGCAGACUAGAGUGCGGUAGGGGAGAUUGGAAUUCCUGGUGUAGCGGUGGAAUGCGCAGAUAUCAGGAGGAACACCGAUGGCGAAGGCAGAUCUCUGGGCCAUUACUGACACUGAGAAGCGAAAGCAUGGGGAGCGAACAGG